This 75-nucleotide transfer RNA is filed under the name Chloroflexota bacterium. RNAcentral describes it as "Chloroflexi bacterium (wastewater metagenome) tRNA-Lys". It matches the Rfam family "tRNA". Rfam says of the family: Transfer RNA (tRNA) molecules are approximately 80 nucleotides in length. Their secondary structure includes four short double-helical elements and three loops (D, anti-codon, and T loops). RNAcentral also lists the same sequence under 1 other name. Lineage: Bacteria; Bacillati; Chloroflexota. The record is from RNAcentral.
GGCCCCGUAGCUCAGCGGCAGAGCAGUGGACUUUUAAUCCAUGGGUCCUGGGUUCGAAUCCCAGCGGGGUCACCA